RNAcentral lists this long non-coding RNA (1714 nucleotides) under Homo sapiens (human). RNAcentral describes it as "HSALNT0360183". Lineage: Eukaryota; Metazoa; Chordata; Mammalia; Primates; Hominidae. The record is from RNAcentral.
GUCACAGAGCUGGGAACUCGCUCAGAGCCAGGGUCUCUGCUGGGGUCAGCGUCUGUACGCUAAAGCCAGGGCGCAAAGUGCGUGGGCACUGCGGACACUAGAGGCUUAUGGCGCUGGAAAUACAAGGCCGAGUUGCCGGCGCAAAGAGUUCCCCGGGCGGGUUGGUGAUGCGGCGCGCUUUGAUAACAGGUUAAUCCGGCCAACAUUCGCUCCGCGAGAGAGCCAUCGGAGGGCUCCGGGAGACUGCGGCGCCACGGAGGGAGAGGCGGCGAGAGGCCCCUCUGCGAGCACCCUCUGGGCGCAGUGCGGUGGGCUAUGCUCUGCGCAGCCCCGGGCGCGCCUGGGUUCUCAGAGCCCAAGACCUGAGCCGCUCCGAGCGCAGGGCGCCAGUUCUCUUUCAGAAGCGGGAGAAGUUCAGGUGCCCAACACCUUGAUCAGUGCCUGCUUUGUAGUAGGCAUUCAAAUACUGUGGACUGGAUGAAUGGAGUCACUUCCCUUCCAACCUGCACACCAACGUGGUUGAACUGCCUCCUUUCUAAGUGCCAAAGUCUGUUUUACAAGGCUUAUUUCAGGAUGCCUGCUGCAGCUCCAGCCAUUGUGUCUGCAUUCCAGGCAAUGGGAAGGAGGAAGAGGGUAAAGCAAAAAGGACUUUCUCCAGUUGUGUUUUCUCUGUUUCAAAGAACCUUCCCAGAAGUCCUUCCCUACUAGCUUCUCAUGUUUCAUUGGCCAGAACUUCAUCGUGUGGCCACACCUGGCUGUAGAAGGGGCUGGGCAGUAGAGUCUUUGACUGGAAAUAUCACUGACUGUAGAACAGAGGAGCUCUCGAUGGCGGAAGAAUGGGAGAUCGGAUCCUGGAGGAGCAGCGAGCAGGCUCUGCAAUGCCAGAUUCUGUGCCAGCUCUCUUACUUGCCAAAGUCUUGGUGAUGGAGAAUGGUGGUAUUUUGAACCAGAGAAAACUCAGGUUUGAUGAGUUUUGUAACACUCUGAGAUCAUUGGAAACAGCCUGCGAUGCCACAGGCUUACGGUGCUUUCAGGGCCAUCUGUUCUGGAGGUGGCAACAAUGAUGAAAUCAAUAGCAAUUCAUACUGUCAGCGGCUUUCACCCCAGAAUGUCCCCUUUCAAAAUAUAGAUAAAUUUUACUUCUCUGAAUUUAUUUUCCUGUUCAUGACACAUUUAUCCUGCGAGUCUUCUGAGGCUGACUGGAGGAUGGAUUUCCUGUUCUGAGCUGCUCUCUGAUGAUGAUUAGUCUAUAGACACAAACACAGACACCACUGAGCCAGCACCAUCCAUACACCAGCACUGUACCUGUGGCAAGGCAUGUCACCCUCAUAACAGUCUUGCAGGUUGAGGGAUCAUGAUCCCAUUUUACAAGUAAAAAGUGGAGGCUCAGAGAAGCUAAGUAACUUGCCCCAAAUUGCACAGCUGAUAAAUUCCAGAGCUGGAGAGAAUGCUUUCCAGCAUACUGCACAACCCCUCAGUUCAUUUACUGUCUUCACCCUCACCUCACAUGGCUGACAAUGGUCCCUUGUGACAACAGGGGCAUUCCUGAGACCUCCAAGCAUACACUUUCUUCUAAAGCCCUUUUCUUGCCUCCACCUCUUCCUUUCUUUUCCACUCUGGAUCUUCCUCUAAUCUUGGAAAGACCCCUGGAAAAUUGUAUCUUGAAUGUAGCCUCAUCCCCCGACUCCCUUGGCAGACUCAGGCCACCCAUGCC